CUUCCUCCGCCCCAAGCAGCCGGGGCGGUGCACCACCGGCCCCCGCUUCCUUCUCGGGGUUGGGAGGCACCGAGGGCCUCGAGGGGCUGCGGGACUCGGGCUUGGUGUGGAGGGCAAGAGCGCUGCGACGUGCGGACUGGAGAGUCAGCCUUUGGGCUGGAGACACGGGAGCGGGUGGCUACAGUGGUUUACGUUGUUGCACGGGGCGAGUAGAACGUGCUCCCCAAGUGACCUGACAUUGAGCUCCAGCUGUUGUUCUUUGAACACCCAAGACCCUCAUCUCCACCCCAUGGCUGAGGAGUUCUGGAUUUGGGGUUUGAUGGACCAGUAAACCUCUGCAGACACCAUCUAGGGACUGACACUGGGUUGCGAACUUUUUAUUUUGCAAGAUUGAAUAUUUGAAAACAACUCAAACUCCUGUCUAAGGUUCCUGUCUUUUAAAAAACAAACAGAAGGCCAGGCACAGUGGCUCACGCCUGUAAUCCCAGCACUUUGGGAGGCCAAGGUGGGUGGAUUACCUGAGGUCAGGAGUUCAGGACCAGCCUGGCCAACGUGGUGAAACUCCAUCUCUACUAAAAGUACAAAAAUUAGCCAGGCGUGGUGGUGGGCACCUCUAAUCCCAGCUACUUGGGAGGCUGAGGCAGGAGAAUUUCUUGAACCCAGGAGAUGGAGAUUGCAGUGAGCGAAGAUCAUGCCAUUGCACUCCAGCCUGAACGCCAGAGGGAGACUCUGCCUCAAAAAACAAACAAACCAACAAACAAACAAACAGAAAAACAUUGUCACACAGACAAAACCAAUAUGGAAAACUUCCAAAGAAAGGGUGCGGCAUCACUUUAACGGGUGAGCACAGCGGCCCUGGCAGCCUCCAGGCUCUAGGUGGCACUGGAUUCUUUCUGACAAGUCCUCAUCUGGGCUGUCAGAGACCUCCGCUUUGAGCUGCGCUGCCAUAGAGCUCUCUGGAAGUCCCUUGCUCCUCAGGGUCCAGUCCGAAUGCGCCUUUCACGAGGCCUCUCAGGCCAUCCUCAGGAGAAAAUAAUUUCUCACUUUGGCCAGGCGUCGUGGCUCACGCCUUGCAAUCCCAGCACUUUGGAAGGCUGAGGUGGGCGGAUCACUUGAGGUCAGGAGUUCAAGACCAGUCUGGCCAACAUGGUACAACCCCGUCUCCACUAAUUAGCUGGGUGUGGUGGUGGGCGCCUGUAAUCCCAGCUACGUGGGAGGCUGAGGCAGGAGAAUUGCUUGAACCCGAGAGGCAGAGGUUGCAGUGAGCUGAGAUCGUACCACUGCACUCCAGCCUGGGUGACAAGAGCGAGACUGUCUCAAAAAAAAAAAAAAAAAAAAAAUUCCACCUGUGAGGCCGGGCACAGUGGCUCACGCCUGUAAUCCCAGCACUUUGGGAGGCUGAGGUGAGUGGAUCACCUGAGGUCAGGAGUUCGAGACCAGCCUGACCAACAUGGUGAAACCUUGUCUGUACUUAAAAAUACAAAAAUAAGCCGGGCGUGAUGGCAGGCGCCUGUAAUCCCAACUCCUUGGGAGGCUGAGGCAGGACAACUGCUUGAAUCCAGGAGGUGGAGGUUGCAGUGAGCCGAGAUUGUGCCGUGCCAUUGCACUUCAGCCUGGGCAACAAGAGCGAAACUCCGUCUCAGGAAAAAAAAAAAAAAAAAAUUCCGCUUGUCAAUUUUUUAUAGCAGAGACUGCCAUUUUUAGGCAGUGACUGUUCUUUGUCCUUCGAUGUCUGUUCUUCCCAAAUUCUAUAGUAGAACCCUGGGCUUUUAGUUGGACACACGGAUGACUGAAAUAAUGAUAUUUCCUAGUACCCCUUGCUGUGGUCUUGUGACUAAGUUCUGACCAAUGGGAAGUUGAAAUGGGCAGUAUCCUAUUCAAAGAGAUUGGGUGCUGUUCUUUCCUCCUUCCAGCAGACUGGAAUGAGAAUGUAAUGGCUGGAGCAAGGGCAGUCACCCUGCACCAUGAGGCGGCAGCCUUGUGUUUGAGCUGAGGAUGGUAAAACAAGAUAGGAGCCUGUGUCUGAUGAUCAUGAGCAUCACACUAGCUCUGGGCCAACUAUGUUUACAAAAGAGGAGGAAAAUCAUCUCUCUUGUUAAAAGUCACUAUAGUUUGGCUUUUCUGUCAUUUUCAACCAGUCUAGUCCUAGCUAAAACAAACUCCAGCCUAUCUUAGGACAGGGCUGUUCUCUGCUGUUCAAGAGUGGGAGCUCUCUGACGGCAGUGAUGUGUGAUUUGGCUUGGUACCCCCCAAAGGUUAUCAUAUACAGUUGGCAAUCUCAAUACUUUGUGGGAUGAAUUUCAAAGAAAAAAGGUUUCUAGGUUAAGUAUUUGUAAAAACCAAAGUAAUGGCAUUUUGUGCUUUCCUGAUUUAUUAGCCCAUCUCAGGAUUAAAAUAAAAUGAAGUUCUAAAGAAAUUAUCAGAGACUGGGUCACAAAUUUAUAUAAAAGUUUAGUGAGUGCUGCAUUAUUAAGAAUAGUACCAAAAAUGAAAACCUAAGCGUUUAACAAUGGGGGUUGGCGAAAAUAAAUUUUAGAUUGAGAAAAGUGUCAUAACACAAACUUUCAAGGUGACAAAUGAUAGAAACCUGAACCCAAGAUAUAUUUUAAAAAUAUAUCUAUAUACACAUAGCGAAAGCUUAUAAGGAAAUACAGCAAAAUGUUAAUCUCAGCUGGGUGUGGUGGCUCAUGCCUGAAAUCCCAACACUGGCAGGACAAGACAGGAGGAUUGCUUGAGGCCAGGAGUUCAAGACCAGCCUGGGCAACACAGCAAGACCCCAUCUCUAUAAAACAUAAGAAAAAUUACCCAGGUGUGGUGGCAUGUGCCUGGGAGGUCAAGGCUGCAGUGAGCUAGGAUCACACUACUGCACUCCAGAAUGGGCAACAGAGUGAGACCCUGUCUCAAAAAAAGGAAAAAAGCAUCUUUGUGUGACAGGACUACAAAUGAUUAAAAUUUUCUCUUUGCAUUUGCCUUUUUUUUUGAGACAGAGUCUUGCUCUACUGCCCAGGCUCAAAUGAGGUGGCGUGAUCUCGGCUCACUGCAACCUCCGCC
This 3051-nucleotide long non-coding RNA is filed under the name Homo sapiens (human). RNAcentral's name for it is "non-protein coding lnc-TARDBP-5:5". The record is from RNAcentral. Lineage: Eukaryota; Metazoa; Chordata; Mammalia; Primates; Hominidae.